AUUAUGAGACUAGCCCUUUUGGCUUUUCAAAUUGGUUUCUCUAAAUUAAAAUGAAGGGGAAAUUAAAAAGCCACUAAACUCAUCAAGACAAAUAUUGUCACAAGCUGAUACAUGAUGUUAAUUACAACAUUGUUUUUCUUGUCUAAUAAUUAAACUAUUAGAAAGAGGUAAAGCAUUCAUGUUCAGAUGAAUUUGAAUCAUCACUUGGAGAGUGGUUGUGUCUACCUUCAUAGGUUGUUAUCACCAUUCUUGGGUCCUCUGCUAAUCUCUCCACUCGUUUCUUUACUCGACAAUUAUCUUGUGUACAACGAUAAUAGCUCCUGGGAUGCAGUGUGUUCUUUACCACUUUCUGGCCGUACUUUCUCCACUUGUAUCCAUCAUCCAGCACAUCCACAUCGCUCAUAGUCUUGAAGCAAAACCUAGGCUCUCUUACCUUUCUCCUUCCUUUAAUCUUCUUCAUUUUCAUUGAAGAAACCCCUAGAUAUUGAUCAUCUCCACCACUUCUUUUGCUGCUUAAAAACUCACUCACCUCUCCCCAUGCCCAGAGAUUUGCACUAGAUCUUUGCAAUGAAAGGAGAUGGGGUCCUCCUAAAUAAGCUGUCAUGUCUUCUCUUUGCUUAGCAGCGGCGGAUGAGAGUAGCGUUUCGGUGAGAUUCGCAGUAGAUGGUGCAUCGGCUACAAGCGAAUGGGGUAUAGUAAAGCCUUUGAGAGAUUGAUGGCAACUAUCCAGUUGAGGAAAAGUUGAGUGUGGAGCAAAAGAAAAGAAACCCAUUUGCGUAGGCAUCUCUUGCUCCUCAAACAAGCCCUGAUUUAGCAUGGCUUGGGAGGUGGCUGCCA
RNAcentral lists this unclassified non-coding RNA (837 nucleotides) under Hevea brasiliensis (rubber tree). Lineage: Eukaryota; Viridiplantae; Streptophyta; Magnoliopsida; Malpighiales; Euphorbiaceae. The record is from RNAcentral.